This 497-nucleotide ribosomal RNA is filed under the name uncultured bacterium. Its description in RNAcentral is "partial 16S ribosomal RNA". It matches the Rfam family "Bacterial small subunit ribosomal RNA", at positions 28 to 507 of the family's 1533-position model. The record is from RNAcentral.
GAUGAACGCUGGCGGCGUGCCUAAUACAUGCAAGUCGAGCGAACAGACGAGGAGCUUGCUCCUCUGACGUUAGCGGCGGACGGGUGAGUAACACGUGGAUAACCUACCUAUAAGACUGGGAUAACUUCGGGAAACCGGAGCUAAUACCGGAUAAUAUAUUGAACCGCAUGGUUCAAUAGUGAAAGACGGUUUUGCUGUCACUUAUAGAUGGAUCCGCGCCGCAUUAGCUAGUUGGUAAAGUAACGGCUUACCAAGGCGACGAUGCGUAGCCGACCUGAGAGGGUGAUCGGCCACACUGGAACUGAGACACGGUCCAGACUCCUACGGGAGGCAGCAGUAGGGAAUCUUCCGCAAUGGGCGAAAGCUUGACGGAGCAACGCCGCGUGAGUGAUGAAGGUCUUCGGAUCGUAAAACUCUGUUAUUAGGGAAGAACAAAUGUGUAAGUAACUAUGCACGUCUUGACGGUACCUAAUCAGAAAGCCACGGCUAACUACGUG